UACGUAGGGUGCAAGCGUUGUCCGGAAUUAUUGGGCGUAAAGAGCUCGUAGGCGGUCUGUCGCGUCGGCUGUGAAAACCUGGGGCUUAACUCCGGGCCUGCAGCCGAUACGGGCAGACUAGAGUUCGGCAGGGGAGACUGGAAUUCCUGGUGUAGCGGUGAAAUGCGCAGAUAUCAGGAGGAACACCUGUGGCGAAAGCGGCUCACUGGACCAUUACUGACGCUGAGGCACGAAAGCUAGGGGAGCAAACAGG
RNAcentral lists this ribosomal RNA (253 nucleotides) under uncultured bacterium. RNAcentral describes it as "partial 16S ribosomal RNA". It matches the Rfam family "Bacterial small subunit ribosomal RNA", at positions 524 to 776 of the family's 1533-position model. The record is from RNAcentral.